RNAcentral lists this ribosomal RNA (485 nucleotides) under uncultured bacterium. Its description in RNAcentral is "bacterial SSU rRNA". It matches the Rfam family "Bacterial small subunit ribosomal RNA", at positions 392 to 885 of the family's 1533-position model. The record is from RNAcentral.
CGACGCCGCGUGCGGGAUGAAGGCCUUCGGGUUGUAAACCGCUUUCAGCAGGGAAGAAGCGAAAGUGACGGUACCUGCAGAAGAAGCACCGGCUAACUAUGUGCCAGCAGCCGCGGUAAUACAUAGGGUGCAAGCGUUGUCCGGAAUUAUUGGGCGUAAAGAGCUCGUAGGUGGUUCGUCACGUCGGAUGUGAAACUCUGGGGCUUAACCCCAGACCUGCAUUCGAUACGGGCGAGCUUGAGUAUGGUAGGGGAGUCUGGAAUUCCUGGUGUAGCGGUGGAAUGCGCAGAUAUCAGGAGGAACACCAAUGGCGAAGGCAGGACUCUGGGCCAUUACUGACACUGAGGAGCGAAAGCGUGGGGAGCGAACAGGAUUAGAUACCCUGGUAGUCCACGCCGUAAACCGGGGGCNCUNAUUNUGGGGGACCUUUCNAGGGUUUUUGGGACGCANUUUAACNCUUUAAGUGCCCCCCUNGGGGAGUCCAA